Drosophila santomea is the source of this 500-nucleotide long non-coding RNA. RefSeq lists it as uncharacterized. The record is from RefSeq and is a predicted model, not a curated record. The transcript has 3 exons. NCBI's taxonomy places the organism in Eukaryota, Metazoa, Arthropoda, Insecta, Diptera, Drosophilidae.
UUGCACGAAAAUAUUUUUUGACAAUAGUGAAAUUUCUAGUCCUGCCGAACACAUUUGAUUACCGUUUAAAACACGGAAAAAUUGGCUCAAAUUUAACGAUGUGGCUUUAAAUGAAAAUUCCGAUUGCAUCCGUGUGGUCCGGGCAAAAUACUUACUGCGAGUAUCAGAACUGUCAGAAAUGUUGCACUGGUAACCAAGUUAUAGCAGUUGCUACCCUCCAAAAUACAUGCUUUUUAUUACCAUCUGGAAGAGCGGAACAUUUUGGGGGCCACCAGGAGCUCGAGAUUUGUGCGCUGACAGGAAGCAACUUUUGGCUGACUCAUGGCAGUUGAUUUACUGCUCACCGGGUACGGGAAUGGGUAAUGGUACUAUGCAGUUGAAUCGUCUCCCCAGCUCUCCCCCACCACCUGCAGCGAUUUCCUCGCCGAGCUCAACCAUCACAUCGGAGUCCGGGCAGUGACUCGUACUCGUCUCGAGAAUGCUGAUCCCGGUGGUGUUAU